Long non-coding RNA from Neoarius graeffei (lesser salmon catfish), 1903 nucleotides. RefSeq lists it as uncharacterized. Lineage: Eukaryota; Metazoa; Chordata; Actinopteri; Siluriformes; Ariidae. The record is from RefSeq and is a predicted model, not a curated record. The transcript is spliced from 2 exons.
AUACAAACAUGCUUUAAAGUCAACUCACCCCAAUUUGUAGCUUUUCACACUUCCGGUUUGAUGGCAACACGGAAGCGAAGGCUGUUGUUAGCUGGUUAGCUAAGUGGCUAACAACAUAGCACCUUGCACAGAUUUCACAACAGUUGACAGGAAAAUGACGCGCAGAAGCAAAAACAUUUAGCAGCCGAGACAGAUCAGUGUGAGGCGAUGUUAUUCUAUACCGAGAACCGAAUUCUGGAACAAUAUCAUCGUUUGUUAAAUAAAUAAACACAUCCGGUUCAGCAGCAAAGCGAGUCAGAACAUCUUCAGCGGGGGAAAGAAAUCCUGUCUCGCCUCACAGUCCUGGGAUCGAAAUGCUGACCUCUUCUGCUCCUCGGACCUGCCUGAUCCAUCCUGGUGCCCUGUGUCUGGUUGGAGUCUCAUCGCAUCGCUCCUGUGGAGGGUGGCCCCAUGUGGACAGUUGGGGGUCACGCUUGGAGGACGCUCUGGACUCUUGCAGUGGUGCUUUUGUGGCUGGGGACUGCAGUUGGCUUGCUGACUUUGGGGCUACAGUUGACUUGCUGACUUUGGGACUGUGGUUGUCGUGGGCGGGUUUGCACUUGGGUUUCCAUCGGUGGGGGCUUUGUGUUAGGACUGUUGAUGUUGUAGUCGUGUUGUCUGUUGUUGCCCUGGUGAGGAUGGGUCCCCUUUUGGGUCUGGUUCCUCUCGGGGUUUCUUCCUCGUAUCAUCUGGGGGGGUUUCCUUGCUGCCGUCGCCACGGGCGUGCUCAUUGGGGUUUAAAUUGGCUCAUAUUUUGGGUCGUUCAAAUUCUGUAAAGCUGCUUUGCAACAAUGUUUAUUGUUAAAAGCGCUAUACAAAUAAACUUGACUUGACAUUGGACACAAAAAUUGGGGAGAAGCUACCGUAUGUCUUUUAAGAGGACCAGCAAUGUGAAUGGGAUCAUUCAUUCAUAUUCAGUCAGCACUUUAUUGGGUCACACUGAGGGUGGAAAUGCACUCUGGAUGGGUGACCAGUCCAUCAUCGGACACCGUACACACUCAUCAAGGGGAAAUUUAGAAUUGCCAGUCCAACUACCAGUAGGUUUUUGUGACACCGGAUGAACCCCACAACAUGCAAAACUCCAGACACACCAAAAACAGAGAUCGGGGUCAAACCGAUGACCCUGGACCCUUGAGGUACUAACACUACCUGCUGCACCUCCAUUGUACCCAAUACUCAAGUAUUUCAGCCCUCAACCUGGUUGCCUCGCACACCCCCCUUCAGCAUCUGACAUGUCAUCCUCACAGUCCCCCCCCCCCCCCCCCCCCAACACACACACACAUACAUACAUCUCAUCGUUCAUUAACGCACUGAACUCAGGGCCCGCACAUCUCACUUUACCUCGCUCAUUUGCACUAUUCCGCACUACCUCAACUUAACAGCUGCUAGUUUGUUUAUUCUGCUUAUUUCAUGUUUACCUGCUAUACCUCAAGUGCCCUUGACUGUUUGGUUAUUUGAACCAAUUUAUGUGUGUGUGUGUGUUUAGUCUACGUCUAGUUCAUAUCUAGAGUGUUUAUACUGUUUAUAUUGUCUGUUUGAGUGUUUAGUCUGUGUGUAGUUCUUAUCUAGUGUUUACACUGUUUAUAUUGUCUGAGUGUUUAGUCUAUGUCUUGUUUUAUCUAGUGUUUACGGUAUACUGUUUAUUUAUACUGUUUAUAUUGUUUGUCUGAGUGUUUAGUCUAUGUCUAGUUCCUAUCUAGAGUGUUUAUACUGUUUAUAUUGUUGUUUGUUUGUUUUUUCAAUUAUUCUAUUUUUAUUUAUUGCAUUGCCUGUUUGCACCGUGGGUCAGAGAGGACUGAUAUUUCAUCUGUGCUGUAUGUUGAGCAUGUAUAGCAUAUUUGACAAUAAACUUGACUUGACUUGA